RNAcentral lists this transfer RNA (58 nucleotides) under Mus musculus (house mouse). Lineage: Eukaryota; Metazoa; Chordata; Mammalia; Rodentia; Muridae. The record is from Rfam by way of RNAcentral.
UGGCUCAGUGGUUAAGAGCACUGACUGCUUUUCCAGAGGUCCUGAGUUCAAAUCUCAG